Molecule: long non-coding RNA, 444 nt
Organism: Empidonax traillii (willow flycatcher)
Lineage: Eukaryota; Metazoa; Chordata; Aves; Passeriformes; Tyrannidae
Exons: 2
Source: RefSeq, a predicted model, not a curated record
UCAAACUAGGAUCAUGUUGCUGGCAAGAAACUUCAACCAAAUAAGGCAGGAUUGACCAGAGGCCCCUACCCUGACUUACUGAGGGAUUUCACAUGCAGAGGAAAAACACUAGGAAAUACACUAGGAGCACUUACACAUCUUCAGCCAUCACGUGUAGCUAAACUGAAUGCAGAAAGCAGCCACCAUUCACCAGAGAUGCUCAGUGCUUCCUUUCAGAGCCUGAGACAUGGAUGCCACUUUUUAAUUGUGAUGGUGAAUCUGCAACAGCCUGAGGAGCCAAACCUCAAACACAAAGGUAUCAGUAGUUAGACCAGGACAGAGAAGGCAUUUCCAAGUCACACCCUGAAACGAGUCUUACUUCUCUUUGAAAACUUCUACAGGACAUGGUCAUUGCCCAGUCAAUAUCCAAGUUUUCUUGUUUAAUAAAGAAAAUAACUUCCUUUA